AUGCACAAAACUAUUCCUCCGCCUUUCGCCGUCGUCAUACUCUCAACUGUUUGCGUCUCCGUGGAAACAUCACAGCCACUGCCUCCGUCUUACUUUGCCAAAAUUCAGAUCCAUGGAUUCUCUACCUCCUCCAAUUUCGAUCUUAUUCCUCGAUUCACAUACAACAAAAGCGAAAUCGAUAAAGGAUUUUUGGAGCUUACCUACCGGAGAACUCUGGUGGUUCUUCAGCGACGACGAAGACGAGGAAUCUCGGACGGAACUGUAAGCCUUUCAGCUCUUUGCUUCAAUAGACUCCGUUUCCGUUUAUUCUUCUACUUGGUUAUUCUGAGAAAUUCUUCUGAUCGAUCCCCGUCAUUUGCAUCUUUUUUUAUCAUCGUGUUAUUGUUGAUGCGCUGA
This is a non-coding RNA of Vicia faba (fava bean), 396 nucleotides long. The record is from the annotation of a GenBank genome assembly. NCBI's taxonomy places the organism in Eukaryota, Viridiplantae, Streptophyta, Magnoliopsida, Fabales, Fabaceae.